AAAAGAAGAAACUACUGAAAAGAAAGAUAAAAUGCAAAACCUGCCAUCAUGACAUGACGCUGAAGAGAAGAUCAAACAGUGGAGAUCAAUUUGCCUGGAUCUGCUGACAUCCAGUCCAUUUGGGGAGGCCAAAACAAACAUCUGUCAGGCACAACUCCAUAUUCAGGCGAUCCAAAGUAUCUUUGAGAAAGUGGAUACAUUUUAUGUACAGGUUGUUUAAAAAAAAAACCAUGUAACCACAAAUAUUAUAUUACAUUGCAAUUCUGAAUACUUUUUCCUUGAUACAAAAGUACAUUUUAUUUUGUCUUUUCAGAUUUUGUCAGGGUCUAAGAUUAAGGCAGAUUGAUAUGAUGGCUGAUGAUAUUGCAGUCAGUUCAGCAACACUCAGCAAAAUGGCAAAAAAAUUAAGGGAUGUCUGUGUGACAGCAGUUGAAAGGAUGAGAAGACGCACAGGCCAACUGAUUGGAGGAAGAAGGGAAUUUGUUGUUAUUGAUGAAAGCCAUUUUCGACACAAAAGAAAGUAUGGAAGAGGAAGAAUGACUGGUGGAUGGAAAAGAAAGCAGUGGGUCUUUGGGAUGUUAGGUGUCCAACAUGACCAGGGAAGACAAAAGCCAAGCCAAUUCUACGUCUUGUUGAAAAAAGAUCUAGGAGGCAUCUAGUGCCUUUGAUUGCUCGUCAUGUGAGGUUAGGAUCAUCAAUUAUCAGUGAUGAGUGGCGUGCUUAUCGCAUACUCCCUGAUUUAGGGUACAACCAUCACACUGUCAACC
Molecule: long non-coding RNA, 767 nt
Organism: Monopterus albus (swamp eel)
Lineage: Eukaryota; Metazoa; Chordata; Actinopteri; Synbranchiformes; Synbranchidae
Exons: 3
Source: RefSeq, a predicted model, not a curated record